Molecule: long non-coding RNA, 2087 nt
Filed under: Theobroma cacao (cacao)
Lineage: Eukaryota; Viridiplantae; Streptophyta; Magnoliopsida; Malvales; Malvaceae
Description: long non-coding RNA (TCAC_LNC001914)
Source: RNAcentral
CUCACCAAGGAGAAGCAAGAAAAAGGAAGAACAAAACUCUAGGUGGAAAAAUUCAAGGGAAAAGUGUGAAAAUUCAAUGAAACAAGUGAAAAAGGUAAGAUUUUUUCAAUUAAGCUUGAGAUCUCUCUUUCUUAAGCAUUUUUUCUUAGUUUCCAUGGUUGAAUCACAUGAAAUCAUGAUGAAUCCCUUGCUGGCCGAACACUUAGAGGGAGGUUUUGAUGCUUGAUUUGGUUAGAUUUCAAUGUAUUUUAGUGUUUUUAGUUAGUUAGUGAUGUGUAGCAUGAAAAUCAAGCAAGAAAAAUUCAUGUUCUUCCAUAACCCUCAUUGGCCGAAUUCUCCAUGUGGAAUAUUGAUGAUGGUUUUGAUUUUAUUUCAAGUGAAUUGGUUAGGAAAUGAUGAAUUACGGUGAGAAAAUCAAGUAGCAAAAAGCAUAGUAUUGAUGCACCCACCAUGGCCGAAAUUCCCAAGAGAAAAUGUGAAGAUGAUUUUGCUAAAUUUUAUGCUAUUUGACUUGUGUUUGAUGGUUUGGAGAAUUGGAAGAAAAAUGGAAUUAAUUGGAGUUAAAUUGGACAUAUUGGCUAAUUAAUCGGGUGAUAGAUCGAAUUAGGCCAAUACCAUUUUAUUUAGGUACAUAAUUGAAUUUAUAUUGAACACCGUAUUAGAUAGUUACCUGAGUAUUUUACAUCCCAUUUCAUGCAUUAGUAUAAAGCCUGAAUUGGUUUUACAGCGGUUUAGCACAAAUGUAGUAAAUAGCUUUUUGUGCAUUAUGUCUAGGUGGUGAGCUUUCUAGCAAAAGUAAAGAGAUAGUACUCGAUGAUAAAAAAUCGGAGUACUCGAAAUUCGACUCCCGAAAUAGUGAGUAACCUUAUUAUCAUCUUAAUUAUCUAAAGUAGUUUUUAUUCGUUUUUGUGAUUUGAUAGAAAAAUGAGUUUAAAUGAUAAAUCUUUAUGUUUUAUAAGCAAAAUGUGAUUAAAUGAAAUGAUUUUAUAAAAUUAUCUUGAAAUUGAAAUAUGGUUUUGAAAAUGGAGUAAUUGGAGACUAAUUGUUGUGUUAUAAAUCAUGGUUUGAAUUGAAUGGCUUAUGAUAAUAUUGGCAUGAAUGGUUGAAUUAGUAAAUGUGCUGAAAAUGUAUAAACUGUUGUUUGCCUUGAUAGGCUGGAAAAUGAUAAAACUGCCAUGUCAUGCUGUUGAAAUUUUAUUGUAUGGUGGGUUUAGCUUGCUGCAGUGGGCGAGUUCUAUGGACCAACCUUUUUGAGGGGCACGAAAUCCCGUUAUAUUCAUACCUCAGUUGGGGAGGAGCGUAGGGUAACUCUCGAGGUAAAACUUUAGAAUUCACUUCAUGCCAAACCACCACGUGAGGGUGAACUCAACCAACGCCAAGGAACGGCUAUGUUUUCAAAAUAAAAACAUGAUUUAUGCGUACAUGACUUUUUAACAACCUUGGCGGACUCAGUUGGGAUAGUCCCGGGCCAAGGUAUCCCUGAUAACUGAGUAUGAGAAUGAUUUUGGCAUGAGCCAAACUUUUCAGGAAAUCAUAAGCCUCGUUAUUUAUUUGGGUGAAAUGAAUAUAUUUUAUCUUAUUCAAAUGAGUUCGAAAUACUGUGAAUCAUUUUUAUGCUAAUCUAUUUUAUCUGUCUCCAUUUACUUAGCUUUAGAUAUUUUAGAUGGUAUUUGUUUACUCACUAGGAUUAUAUAAUCUCACCACCCUCCUUUUCACCCAUUUCAGGCUCAAGAUAGUCGGUAGAUAGCUCAUUUCGUUGAAGGCUACAAUUGGACUUGCAUCCUCAAAAACUGUAGGUUCAUAGCCUUCAUUACUUUUAGUCAUUCGGGGGCCCACAUGUCAUUGUUAAAUGUUUUGAAUACUUGGCUACGUGUGCUACUGUAUGUAGGAAUUUAUUUUGCUUUGACACUGUAAAAAUUAUUUACGUAAUGUUCUAUAAAAAUUAUUUUAUGAAAAAUUGGAAUAUUUUAUUUGUUAUUUUUAUUUUUUUCCAUUAGCUAUAAUUUCACUUUAAAUGAAUGUAUUAGAUAUCUAAACUUAUUUUCGGUUAUGAAAUGUGUAAAUUUCUCUCAUAUACUACAUUUUAG